UCCCCCAUGGCUCAGUUGGUAGAGCGUGGUGUUUGCAACGCCAGGGUUGUGGGGUCGAUUCCCAAGGGGGGCU
This 73-nucleotide transfer RNA is filed under the name Salmo salar (Atlantic salmon). It matches the Rfam family "tRNA". From Rfam's summary of the family: Transfer RNA (tRNA) molecules are approximately 80 nucleotides in length. Their secondary structure includes four short double-helical elements and three loops (D, anti-codon, and T loops). Further hydrogen bonds mediate the characteristic L-shaped molecular structure. tRNAs have two regions of fundamental functional importance: the anti-codon, which is responsible for specific mRNA codon recognition, and the 3' end, to which the tRNAs corresponding amino acid is attached (by aminoacyl-tRNA synthetases). tRNAs cope with the degeneracy of the genetic code in two manners: having more than one tRNA (with a specific anti-codon) for a particular amino acid; and 'wobble' base-pairing, i.e. permitting non-standard base-pairing at the 3rd anti-codon position. Lineage: Eukaryota; Metazoa; Chordata; Actinopteri; Salmoniformes; Salmonidae. The record is from Rfam by way of RNAcentral.